GCACUACUGAGGAGUCCCACAAUAGGACAAAACGGCCGUACAGUGC
Molecule: non-coding RNA, 46 nt
Organism: Schistosoma haematobium
Lineage: Eukaryota; Metazoa; Platyhelminthes; Trematoda; Strigeidida; Schistosomatidae
Source: Rfam